Molecule: long non-coding RNA, 817 nt
Organism: Amphiprion ocellaris (clown anemonefish)
Lineage: Eukaryota; Metazoa; Chordata; Actinopteri; Pomacentridae
Exons: 2
Source: RefSeq, a predicted model, not a curated record
CGUAGCUGAAGUCUAGAAAUACGUGAACUUAUACGAUUCAUCACACAGAGAUCACCGUGGUAACCGGGUUAUGAAGUAUUCAUGGUGUGAAAUAAAACUAACUGCUGAAAUGCUUUUAUUCGGUAAAAUGCCGUGUUGUAAGUGGUGUAAACCAUGGCAAACUUCUUCUUCUCUAGUUUAGUACCAGAGUAGACCAGGUAGAUGUGUGUUUGAGCUACACUGCCCCCUGCAGUUUGGAAGCAGACUUCUUCUCUAGUUUAUUACUAGAGUAGACCAGGUAGACGUGUGUUUGCGAUACACUGCCCCCUGCAGUUUGGGAGCAGACGCGCAAUAUGCACACGUUCUCUCGCACGGAUUUCCGUGCGGCUGAUUUCCGCGUGGCUCGUUCGUGCAGAAAGUAUAUUCCAGCGACGCUGCCCCAGACUGCCUGCUUCAGAGCCUGUCUGCCGUCCUCCCCGUUUGGACUUGUUGAUUCCUUGGUCUGGAUCAUUGGGAACAUCUAGUCUGAUGGACUGAGAGCUCCAGAGAACAUGGACAUCCAGCUGUGGUUGUCUGAGAUGAAGAGUCUUCUCUCCUUCAUCACUGUGAGGAAGAGCAGCACUGAUGUCCUCCUCAUCCUUACAGCAAUAACAAUAAUGCUGCAGAUUCAGCUCCUCUCUUCAUAAUACAACUUGUCUUGUGACUGUUCAGUGUUUACACUUCACUGUCAGCAACACAUUAUUUCAUUCAUUUCAUGUGUUUACACAUCUUUACAGUUCACAAUUGUUAAAUAAUGCAGUUUUUAAAUGUGCAAUAAAGGGAAUAAUGAAGCUCUUGA